UAUGCUCCAGGUGACCAGCUGAGGUUCUGGCUGACCAUCCUUGGUCACUCCCUGACUAAGGAAUAAAUCCUGAAGGAAAAAGAAGAAAACACUGAUACUUUUACCCUAGGGUGAAUGAAUGAAGCUAUGAAAGUAUCUGUCCCUAGCAGGCUGAAACACAAUAUCCAUAAUAUCAUUUCUUCCUAACAACAACCCUGAUAAAAAGAAAAAAUAUUUUCUUCAUUUUACAGGGAUGAGGACAGGACCCCGAAUACAGAUGCUUCAGAUGCUUCUGAAAAUCAUAUUUAUGAAGAAGUGCUUAAGCACUGAGGAUGGCCAUCCAAAUGGAGAGACGACUGAAGAGAUUUGAAGCAACCUUCUGAAAUAAACCAAACUGUAUUAUUUGAAGAUCAUUCUCUGAAGUCCAAAGAUGAAACAGAUCAAACACUGUAUCAUUUGUUAAGAGUACUUCUAAAAGUUGGGGUUGCUGUACUCCAGAAAAAUCAAAGAACUAAGGUGAAUUUUGAAGUAUCUGUUUUUGGGGGCAGACUACAGCUACAGCAGAGUAAUUUUUAAAAUGUGCUCGAUUUUCAAAAUAAAAAUGUUAAAUCAUAAUAAAACUUCAAAAAUUCCUGCAAAAACAAAAACGAAAUGAAAUGCCAAAAAUAAAUGCUUGGAAGCACCAAAUAAUCCAGACCAUGGCCACAACUUGAUAUACCUUCUAUGUUAUGAAGACUUUAGAAUUUCUGUCUCCAGAAUUCAUCUGUAUUCUGAAUACUAAGCCCAAAUCCUCAACUGUCUAUUUCAUGUGUCUGCUUGAAUGUCUCAUAUGCUUUUCAGACUCAAUAUAUUAAAAACAGAUUUCAUCAUCCACCCUGAUCUGCUUUUCAUUUGGUUUUCUCAUCCACCCAGUUGUUGCUCAAAGGAGAACACUGGGAAUCAUUUCUGAGACUGCCUACUUU
Long non-coding RNA from Homo sapiens (human), 941 nucleotides. RefSeq lists it as uncharacterized. The transcript has 5 exons. The record is from RefSeq and is a predicted model, not a curated record. NCBI's taxonomy places the organism in Eukaryota, Metazoa, Chordata, Mammalia, Primates, Hominidae.